Balaenoptera ricei (Rice's whale) is the source of this 4249-nucleotide long non-coding RNA. RefSeq lists it as uncharacterized. Lineage: Eukaryota; Metazoa; Chordata; Mammalia; Artiodactyla; Balaenopteridae. The record is from RefSeq and is a predicted model, not a curated record. The transcript is spliced from 3 exons.
CGACCUGCCGGGACCCGCUGGCGACCCGCGGCGGCGCCGAUCGGCGGGGUGGGGACCCGGCCCGGCCCCUACACUACUUUCUUGACCAACGGGUCAGCUGCAGGCGCGGCGGGGUCUAGGAGUCGCGAGCGGAGAAAGGUUCUCCUAGCGGGAAAGUUGGGGACGGAGAGGCCUGGAGCUUCGUCCCUAUCAUAAACGGGCAAUUAGAGACUUUCGUAAACAAACUCCGGAAAGAGUUCGGGAAAGGACAGUUUUCAGACUCGGAGAGCGUGGGAAGUUCCAGGGAAGUGAAACGAAGAGAACACUUAAUAACAAUAGAAAUGGUGCCGGAAGCCAAGGGAGAAAAGUACCAGAUUGAAACUGAAACUGCUGGGAAGUUAACUGUAAAUUGAAACCCUGCAGCUUGGGAGCAAACACUGUUUGGACUUGGGGAAGGGGGGCGGGGGGAGAGAGAAGGAAAGUGGAUGGGAGAAGUGGCCAGUUCUCCGCCCGGGUGACGACUGUGAUUUUGAAAGAAGAGCAUAUUCCCCCCUGGACAGACACUGUGCUGGGUUCUGGGGAGACAAUGCUUCCUACCCCCAUGGAACCUACCUUGAAGAGACCAGUACCACGCAAAUUCAGUGUGCCUAAGAAUCACUUGAGUAUCUUGUUCAAAUACACAUCUGAUUGUGGAGAUCUGGCUGGGCUUGAGAUUCUGCGUCUUAAACUCGGUGAUCCUUCUGGUCUAUAGAUACCACUUUGAGGAGCAAGUCUAGAGGACGAUACAGAUAAUGAUCAUCAAGCAUGUCUGUACUUUUUUUAACUGCAAGAAACAGGCAGUGGGGCUUCCCUGGUGGUGCAGUGGUUGAGAAUCUGCCUGCCAAUGCAGGGGACACGGGUUCGAGCCCUGGUCUAGGAAGAUCCCACAUGCCGCGGAGCAACUAGGCCCGUGAGCCACAACUACUGAGCCUGCGCAUCUGGAGCCUGUGCUCCGCAACAAGAGAGGCCGCGAUAGUGAGAGGCCCGCGCACCGCGAUGAAGAGUGGCCCCCGCCUGCCACAACUAGAGAAAGCCCUCGCACAGAAACGAAGACCCAACACAGCCAAAAAUAAAUAAAUAAAAUUAAAAAAAAAAAAAAAAGAAAGAAACAGGCAGUGGAACGGUUCAACAAGCAUCAGCGGAAUGAUGGAAAUAGGUCAGGACUACCUAUACAUUUGUUAUCUGAAUUAUUGAUUUUCAACAAGUAAGUAAAUCCAACUAGUUUAGAGCAUUUCAUUGAAGAAGCUAUUAGUAAAUGCUAUGUUAAUUAGAAUGCAGAAUAUCUAAUGAUAAACAAAAUGAUUUUUAGGUUGUCAAUGAGUAACUACUAGGAAGGUAAUUCAGUCUUGUUUAAGAGUUAGAAAGCAAUGAUUGUCCAAGUGUAAUCUGUGCAAAUAUAACCUCAGAAUCAAUUGAUGAGCUUAUUUAAAAUGCAGACCUGCCUGACCUCAGGUUAGUGAAUCACAAUCUGUGGGGUCCUAGCCUGGAAACAAACAUUUUAACAAACUUCUAUGAUAAUGUUGGUACACUAAUGGAGAGGAUGAAAAGGCACUUGAGAAGUGAUAUUUGACCUCAAGUAGCUUACACUCUAGUGAAAAAAAUAAAAUAUAUAUGAAUUAGUAGCAAAUAAUUGAAAAUGGAUUAUAAUUUAUUGUGCAAUUAUGUGACACAUGAAAAUAUUUUUACAAAAUAGCUAAGUGAAAAUAAUUUGUGCUUUGUAUACUUUCCCGGUUUAGUGUUGUAGUUCACAAUUUAAACAAUUUAGUUAGGGGAAGAAAAAGGAAAAGACCUCUUAAUUAUCAUCAGGAGACAAAAGAAACCUGCACCUUCAGGAUAAAUACGCUUAGGAAAAAAGGAUAAAAACAAUAAUAAUACAUACACAACUGACCCAGAGCUUAUACCCUGUGAAUGGGGCAGAGGCAGAGCUGAAAUGCAUGGUAAUCAUGAUCCAGAAGAGGCAGAAGAGGUAAAACAAAGACACAAUUGGUAAGAAGAGGGAAACAGGGAAUUAGAAGAUGUCUUGAGCAUCCGGAAGCUUUGAGCAUUACUGAUGCAAGCAGAAUUGUUAUCCAGCUGUGUGGAUAAUCAAUAGUUGCUUCCUCUGGAAGGGGAUACAAUUUCACGCUGCGUAGACUUGGAAAAUGAGGGAGGCUGAAUUCUUAAUUACCCUCAUUCGUGCCUAAUCUAAUCUAACUGCACCCACAAAGUGGAUUGAGUAUCACUGAUACAGAACUGUCAGCCUUGGAUUCCCGUUAGCGGGAAUGCUUCUGACUGGGACUCCCCUGGCCGUCCUCCUCAAACUCUCAGUUUGCUUCCUGCUUUUGAGCCUUUGCCCUUGCCCUUGACUCUGCCUAGAAUACUUUCUCCUGAUCUUUCCUUGUCUAGAUCCUUCUGGCUACACAAGUCUCAGAACAAAUGCUAUAUUCUCAGAAAGCACCCCCUGACUGUCCUGUCUCAAAUUGCCUGUCCCUACCCUCCAAAGGACUAUCUACCAUGAAAUCGACUGUGUUUAGUUGACUGACUUGUUAUCACCUACUUCCCCUUUUGAAGUCAAACUCCAUGUGAGCUCAGACCUUAUAGGCUUGUUCUCCGCUAUCCCCAGUGCCUGGACCCAUGGGGCUAGUCACAGAGCAGAUGAGAACACCAAAGCUGAAGGAGGUUAAGUUGUCUGCCUAAAUUCACAGCGCUAAUAAGUAAACUAGUCGCCACUGUAAUCCAAACCUUCUUAAUCUUCACCUAGUUCAUCACAGUCAUUGGUUGAUAAGAAAGCUUGACCAUGAAUCAGAAGAGAUCACAAACACUGGGCAUUUAAAUUCUGCCUCUUGUUUUUCUAUUAAAGUAUUUCUCUUUAACAGUAAACCUCCAGGGACUUCCCUGGCUGUCCAGUGGUUAGGACUCCCCGCUUCCACUGCAGGGGGCUUGGGUUCGAUCCCUGGUCAGGGAACUAAGAUCCUGCAAGCCACGCAGUGCGGCCAAAAACAAACAAACAAACAAAAAACAAAAAAACAAUCAACCUCCAUAUCUAAAAGUUUAGACGCUCAGAGGGAGAGGCUAGAAUGAGCACCCUUAGGAAUUAACGCUGUCCCAAGCUUUCUACUGUUCCUCUUGCUUCUCUUGGCCCUCCUGGGUCCCCUUUGCUGCUCCCCAUCCUGGAGCAGGCCAUUGCAAGCUCACUAACUCAUGCCUCUCCCCCUACACAGUCUCCAGCGUUCUCACAGCCCGUUCUCAGAGAUUUCGUCCCUGCACCACCCACAUUCCAAACCUCAGUGUGGAAUUUCCCCACGUCCACUUCCAUGUUCUCAAACUUCAAAUUUGUAUGUUUCAAAAGUGAACUCAUAGAGCAUCCACUCAACCUCCAGAUUUGAAGUCUCCAUACACAGCACCAUCCCCGAGACCCCCUCCAGAUGUUCAAGCAGGAGACCCGGGAUCCACCCUCCUCCCCUCCCUCUAUAGCACUUUCACGGCCAAUCUAUAUGAAGUCAUCCUGAACGCCCCUGGAGGCUCUUCCUUGCUCUCCACAUUCUGGGCCAGUCCCUCCUGCACCUGGGCCACAGCAGGGCUCCUCCCUGGCCUUCCCCUCCAUACUUGCCCCUCUUUCAUCUAUAGUCACUGCAGCCAGCCGGACUUUCUUUAAUGCUAAUUUUCCCUUGUCUCUUUUUAAAAUCUUUCUAUCCAUUGUCCACACUGCCUCCAGAGUGGUCAGGUUUUUAUUUUUAAAAGAUAGAAUUCCUUCCCUGUUCUAAAGUCUUUUGGCGGUCUCCAGAUGCCCCUAGAGUCAAAUCAAAUAUGAAAAACCACGUGCCACCCUAAGUGUCCAUCGACAGAUGAAUGGAUAAAGGAGAUGUGGCACAUAUAUACAAUGGAAUAUUACUCAGCCAUAAAAAGAAACGAAAUUGAGUUAUUUGUAGUGAGGUGGAUGGACCUAGAGUCUGUCAUACAGAGUGAAGUAAGUCAGAAAGAAAAACAAAUACCAUAUGCUAACACAUAUAUAUGGAAUCUAAAAAAAAAAAAAAAGAUUCUGAAGUACCUAGGGGCAGGACAGGAAUAAAGACGCAGACGUAGAGAAUGCACUUGAGGACAUGGGGAGCGGGAAGGGUAAGCUGGGACGAAGUGAGAGAGUGGCAUGGACAUAUAUACACUGCCAAAUGUAAAAUAGAUAGCUAGCGGGAAGCAGCCGCAUAGCACAGGGAGAUCAGCUUUGUGCUUUGUGACCACCUAGAGGGGUGGCAUA